CUGGGGAGUAACGCCCUUUCCCUCCCUGCCCCCUUUUCAUUCCCCCUCUGCUUCGCGUCCCAAAUCGCAGCCCCCUCAGAAGCUGCCCUGCCACGCGUGGGGCGGCCCCAAAAGGAUGUCGGGCUGGGGUUUAGACAGGGACCCACGUCCCCGGCCCCAGCCCCGCCCCCACGGGGCCCGCGCCCGGCCGCCGGUCCCCAUUCCCGGACCACACGCAGUCACACUACAGCAUCAGCUGGAGAGCCAGCCCUAACUUUGAAUCUCCUUUGGUGAAUUAACCUCUUCAGAGAACUCCAAAGAUGUAAUUAUGUGGGGUCAAUGCAAAUAUUGCAGUUGAUUUAAGGGGGAAAUUGGAACUGGGCCUCAAAAUAGAGUAAAUGUCAUGAAAUUUUCCUCACAUCUGAAGCCAAACCAGCUCUUUUACUCUCUGUUAUCUUGUGAGUAAUUUUGAAGCAAAGAACAAAAUUUCCCCCUCAAGAAAAAAGCAGGAAUAGAGAAGUUCUGUUUUUUCUCCAACAACAAAACUUAAUUACAGGAUAAAAAUGCUGAUAAGCCAAACUACUAGCCUUUGUAAGAGAAAAGACAUUUUUCAUUUAGAAAAUGUAGGGACUUUUGCACCUGGGCAAACCGGAAGAUGGUGAAAAGAACUUUUGAACAAGAAUCUAUUUAUUUGACUGGUAGUUUUCAGCAUUUCCCCUGCUGUUCAAAGAAACUACUGUAUGAACUUGACCUCUUGAUUUUUGAUUCUGCAAUAAAGUCAUAAACCUCUGUCAUAUCAUAGGUUGGUAUUGUAUUUAGGAUCCUGGACUGGGACUCAGAAGAUCUGAGUUCAUUUUCUGGCUUCGACACAGGCUGUGUGACUUUGGUCAAGUUCACUUAAUCUGUGCGUCAGUUUUUUUUCCCCCUGUAAAAGGAGGAUAAUUGCACUUUCCUACCUCACAAGGGUGUAUUGAGUGAAGUACUGCAGUAGUGGGGGCCAUGUAACUAGAGAGAAGUAUCAAAUAACGUAGUCAUGUAACAGUCAAUUGCCUUGGAAACAUUUGAGAUGUCAAAAUGGUCCAAUCCUGUGGGCAGAAUUCUCAUUUACUUCACAACUGGGCCCAAAAUCAGCAUUAUAAAUUCCCUGCAGAAUAAAAUGCAGAUAUAGAAGACUGACGAAGAAGUUUAAAAAAAUUUGAUGUAUUCCUCACCCUCAUCCAAUUUCUGGUCAGUCCACAUUAUUUUUCAGACUUUUGUUUUCUUCAGGCCUCUUUGCAGCCUGGCAAAUGUCAUGAAAGUUUACCAGGUUAAACUCAAGAUCUAUUCAUCAGUAUUUUGCCAUGAUGAUUUGGCGGGGGAGUGGAAUUCUAUUAAAAAAUUGGGAUAGGCAAAUGUUGAAUCAAAUUUUUCAAGAUAAACCAUCGUGCUUCAGGAUCAAACAUUUUCUACCCUGUACUGAUCACUCUUAAGCAAAGAUUUUAAAUAUAUUUAUUGAAUUUAUUGAAUCCAUUGGUUGUCUCAUGUGACUAAUUUUGGAACAUGAGGUCUUUCUCCAGUAGAUCCCUGUUUUAAAUCAGGACUGUGUCAACAGAGGGCUGAGCUUAAUCUCUGAUGGCUGUCCAGUGGCCUGAGUGAAAUGUAUUGGCAGUUUCAGUCCACUUUCUCGGUAGUAUGCAGUUUGUACACAGCUGCCCCGAGAGGGAAGGUAUUCAGAAUCUUUCAUAUAGCACUCAAAUAAUAUGGCUAUUGGCUACUUACUGUGAUGUUGUCAUCCAUGUUAUUGGACAGUCAAAUCACGUGAAUGGAUAGUCAACAUUCAAAAGCUUUAGCCUCCAUUUAGACUUUGUACUGAGAACAUGAGAGAGGAGUGGAGCACAGCAUGGGAGUCUCUUCAUCCAGCAAAAGUGGAGUUCAGAUUGUGCAAAGCCACAAUUUCUUAUGGCAACUCAAUAUUAAGCUCUUUUGCAUGUAAACGACAGAUGUCCAAACCCACAAAAAACCUUCCUAGCACUCCAUCCUUUGUCAUUUUCCACUCAAAUAAUUUCAGCAAUAUCAUCUUUAAAAAGAUGGAAGUAAAUUUCUUGUUGUAGGAAGUAAGCAAAAGCCUAAUAGGAAGAAAUUGUUUCAAGUAAAAUUGUCCUCCAUUUUGCGUAUUUUGCUUUAUGCUCCAUUUUGCUCGCUUUGAAUUAGUAAGAAGAAAUUGUUCUGCAUUUAUUCUUUACUGAUUGUGUUAUUGAUUGUUUUUAGAAGGAUAGAAGUUUAUAGCUGUAAUUGCCUUAUUUACUGUUUGAUAUGAGUGAAGAAUGUAUGGUAAUUAAUUGAGAACGGACAGCUAGGCCAGAUGGUCAGGAAGGGAGUGGAGGAGUCGAGAGCCACCAACUUUCACCUGCAUGACAGAUUGACGACCCUAAAGCAAAGGCAUACACCCCAAGGCCAAGAUAAAGAGUGAAGCAAAGGGACGAGAUAGGAAACAACUGCAGAUAACUCCCAGUAACAACCCAAAUAAUGCUGAUGGAAGCAACCUUGAACAGCUCCAGUGUAACACAGCAAGUUCCAGAGGACUUGUAUGGGAACUUAUUACUAUAAAAGAAGGAUGUAUUGUCAUGGGACUUUUGGUUCGCUCUGCAUCAACAUCGGAGCUUCGAACAUGUUCGACAGAGCCCAGCUCCCCAUCCCUCGGGUGUAGUUUCAGCUGGCCACUAGAACUGACCGAGCAACACUAAGGACUGGUAACUAUAAGAUCCAGCUGCAGAACCUUUUGUGUGUGUGUGUGAAUGAAAGCAUAUUCUGAUUUUAAUGCUUAAAUUGUACUCUCAAUAAAUGCAGUGUAUUGCC
Molecule: long non-coding RNA, 2814 nt
Organism: Chelonia mydas (Green sea turtle)
Lineage: Eukaryota; Metazoa; Chordata; Testudines; Cheloniidae
Exons: 3
Source: RefSeq, a predicted model, not a curated record